AUGUUACUACUACUAACGUUACCGCUGUAGGCAAAGAUCCCAACGUGUCUACUACAUGAAGUUGAAACAGCAGACCUUGGAGUGCCUAGAGAGCCCCAGGUAGGCAGAAUCUCAGCAGAAAGCUGUCAGACAGACUGAUGCAGGAAGAGGAGUUAAAGAGUAGCAGCAGUGCCAGUGAAGGAGUGACAGAAGAGACUGAACAAGCAAGUAAUAAGGGAAAGGAAGAGUAUGGACAGAUUCAAAGUGAGGAAGAUUAGAUUUUAAAUGAUCCAGCACUGUGGCCAGAGAAAUUACAAGACCAUGAAAGAGAAGCUAUUGUUUGCAGACUAGCCAACAGGUGUGGUGAGGAGACAGAACUGUAUAAAAUCAUGCCCCCAGAUUCAGAAGGCAAGCCAUUCCCCAACUAUUUACAGUACACAAAGUAAACCAUCACCCAGUUCUCUGAAUAGUAAGGAUGGCUAUAAGAUAUCAUCAGUGAAAUGGUGGAGAAUGUAUGACAAACUACCAGAGCAUGAGGAUGGUGUCUCACAAGAACUGUUACUUGAAAUGGAAAAAUCUGCAGCAUACCGUAACAACAGGUAUAGACAGUCAGCUGCAGUAACAAAUUCAGUCAGAAAUGUAUAAAAACAGAGCACUUCUAGAAAGGAUUUUGGAUGUGACACUGUACUUAGCAUCUAGGAAUCUGCCAUUCUGGGGGAAUUCCCUCAAUCUUGAUGACGUGCAUAAUGGACAUUACCUGGAUUUACUGGAACUGUUGUCAAAUUAUGACCUGCUAUUAUGUGAGCACGACAUAAAGAAAGGAGCAUGACUGACUCAUUACCUCAGCCCUGAGAGCCAAAACGUGUUCAUAGGAAUAUGUGGUCAAAGGGUUUGGAAAAC
RNAcentral lists this long non-coding RNA (879 nucleotides) under Salmo salar (Atlantic salmon). Its description in RNAcentral is "lncRNA (ENSSSAG00000083026.1)". The record is from RNAcentral. Lineage: Eukaryota; Metazoa; Chordata; Actinopteri; Salmoniformes; Salmonidae.